RNAcentral lists this transfer RNA (72 nucleotides) under Camelus ferus (Wild Bactrian camel). It matches the Rfam family "tRNA". Rfam says of the family: Transfer RNA (tRNA) molecules are approximately 80 nucleotides in length. Their secondary structure includes four short double-helical elements and three loops (D, anti-codon, and T loops). Lineage: Eukaryota; Metazoa; Chordata; Mammalia; Artiodactyla; Camelidae. The record is from Rfam by way of RNAcentral.
GAGGGUAGAGCUCAGUGGUAGAGCGCGUGCUUAGCAUGCACAAGGUCCAGGGUUCAAUCCCCAGCACCCCCA